Caenorhabditis brenneri is the source of this 72-nucleotide non-coding RNA. The record is from the annotation of a GenBank genome assembly. NCBI's taxonomy places the organism in Eukaryota, Metazoa, Nematoda, Chromadorea, Rhabditida, Rhabditidae.
GUCCGCGUGGCCUAGUGGCUAACGCUGCUGUUUUCGAAUUUUUCAUCGAGGGUUCGACCCCCACCGGGGUCA